UGGCCGUAAACGAUGUGGACUUGGUGUUGGAAUGGCUCCGAGCUGCUCCAGUGCCGAAGGGAAGCUGUUAAACUCGCUGCCUGGGGAGUACGGUCGCAAGGCUGAAACUUAAAGGAAUUGGCGGGGGGAGCACCACAACGGGUGGAGCCUGCGGUUUAAUUGGACUCAACGCCGGAAAUCUUACCGGGACCGACAGCAACAUGAAGGCCAGGCUGAAGACUUUGCCGGAUUAGCUGAGAGGUGGUGCAUGGCGUAGUCGUGU
Molecule: ribosomal RNA, 262 nt
Filed under: uncultured archaeon
Lineage: Archaea
Description: partial 16S ribosomal RNA
Rfam family: Archaeal small subunit ribosomal RNA
Source: RNAcentral